UUUGCGAUUGUCUGCUGGGCUUGUUGUUUUCUUCCAGUAGGAUUUUAUGCAUGCAAAUAGUGGGUGAAAUCCAUUUUAUGUUAGCUAUUGUCCAUCUAUUGCCUCUACUUUGCCCAAAAAGAUGUAUUUUAGGUGAUCGGGCAGCAACUUCAGCUCUAGUUUAGGGGCUUGCAAAAUAGAUGAUUGAAGUUUUGUGUGAGGAACAGGAAGAUCAAGGUGUGGUACCAUACCUUUUAUUCACUUAAAUGACUCUAACUCAAACACAACUUUUUGCAGAUAUUAGUUAGUAACAUGGUCUUCC
Molecule: long non-coding RNA, 301 nt
Filed under: Carica papaya (papaya)
Lineage: Eukaryota; Viridiplantae; Streptophyta; Magnoliopsida; Brassicales; Caricaceae
Description: long non-coding RNA (CPAP_LNC000423)
Source: RNAcentral